CAAAAGGUUCUUUUCAGAACCACCAAAAAUUGAAGAAAUCGGUAU
This is a non-coding RNA of Beta vulgaris subsp. vulgaris (sugar beet), 45 nucleotides long. The record is from Rfam. Lineage: Eukaryota; Viridiplantae; Streptophyta; Magnoliopsida; Caryophyllales; Amaranthaceae.